This 60-nucleotide non-coding RNA is filed under the name Acetobacterium bakii. Its description in RNAcentral is "Fluoride sequence". It matches the Rfam family "Fluoride riboswitch aptamer (crcB RNA motif)". Lineage: Bacteria; Bacillati; Bacillota; Clostridia; Eubacteriales; Eubacteriaceae. The record is from Rfam by way of RNAcentral.
AUUAACGAUGGUGAUGGAGUUCACCCAAAUUGCUACUUAGCUAAUGACUCCUGCAGGCUU